GUAGGGUGCAAGCGUUAUCCGGGAAUCAUUGGGCGUAAAGAGCUCGUAGGCGGUUCAGCAAGUCGGCUGUGAAAUCCCGAGGGCUUAACCUCGGAACUGCAGUCGAUACUGCUGUGACUAGAGUCCGGUAGAGGAGAAUGGAAUUCCCGGUGUAGCGGUGAAAUGCGCAGAUAUCGGGAGGAACACCAGUAGCGAAGGCGGUUCUCUGGGCCGGUACUGACGCUGAGGAGCGAAAGCGUGGGUAGCAAACAGGAUUAGAUACCCUGGUAGUCCACGCCGUAAACGUUGGACACUAGGUGUGGCGUUCCGACCAACGGGUGCCGUGCCGAAGCUAACGCAUUAAGUGUCCCGCCUGGGGAGUACGGCCGCAAAGGCUAA
Molecule: ribosomal RNA, 378 nt
Filed under: uncultured organism
Description: partial 16S ribosomal RNA
Rfam family: Bacterial small subunit ribosomal RNA
Source: RNAcentral